Molecule: ribosomal RNA, 1243 nt
Filed under: metagenome
Description: bacterial LSU rRNA
Rfam family: Bacterial large subunit ribosomal RNA
Source: RNAcentral
UGAGUACGAGAUGCUACGGCAUCGAAGCAGUCUAUGUCAUACUUCCAAGAAAAGCUUGCAAUGUCAUAAACAAAUAAUGCCUGUACCAUAACCGACACAGGUGGGUAGGUAGAGUAUACUAAGGGGCGCGAGAUAACUCUCUCUAAGGAACUCGGCGAAAUGACUCCGUAACUUCGGGAGAAGGAGUGCCUUAUUUUUAUAAGGUUGCAAUAACAAGAUCCAAGCAACUGUUUACCAAAAACACAGGUCUCCGCUAAGUCGUAAGACGAUGUAUGGGGGCUGACGCCUGCCCAGUGCCAGAAGGUUAAAGAAGUUGGUUAGCAUUAGCGAAGCUGAUAACUGAAGCCCUGGUGAACGGCGGCCGUAACAAUAACGGUCCUAAGGUAGCGAAAUUCCUUGUCGGGUAAGUUCCGACCCGCACGAAAGGCGUAAUGAUUUGGAUACUGUCUCGGAGAGGGGCUCGGUGAAAUAGACUUGUCUGUGAAGAUGCGGACUACCUGCACCUGGACAGAAAGACCCUAUGAAGCUUUACUGUAACUUGAGAUUGAAAUUGGACUUUAUCUGCGCAGUAUAGGUGGGAGACGUUGAAAAUAUUCUUGCGGGAAUAUUGGAGUCAUCAGUGAGAUACCACUCUUAUAAUGUUAGAUUUCUAACUUUGUAUCAUUAUCUGGUCAAAGAACAGUUUCAGGCGGGCAGUUUGACUGGGGCGGUCGCCUCCCAAACGGUAACGGAGGCGCACAAAGGUUUCCUCUGAACGUGUAGAAAUCGUAUCUAGAGUGUAAAGGCAUAAGGAAGCUUGACUGUGAGACCUACAAGUCGAGCAGGGACGAAAGUCGGUCUUAGUGAUCUGACGGUGCUGAGUGGAAAGGCCGUCACUCAACGGAUAAAAGUUACUCUAGGAUAACAGGCUGAUCUCCCCCAAGAGUUUACAUCGACGGGGAGGUUUGGCACCUCGAUGUCGGCUCAUCGCAUCCUGGGGCGGUAGUACGUCCCAAGGGUUGGGCUGUUCGCCCAUGAAAGCGGUACGCGAGCUGGCUUCAGAACGUCGUGAGACAGUUCGGUCCAUAUCCGGUGUAGGCGUUAGAAUAUUGAGAGGAGCCUUCUUUAGUACGAGAGGACCGAGAAGGACAUACCUCUGGUGUACUAGUUAUCGUGCCAACGGUAAACGCUGGGUAGCCAUGUAUGGAGAGGAUAACCGCUGAAAGCAUCUAAGUGGGAAGCCCACCUCAAGAUAAGUAUUCCC